RNAcentral lists this long non-coding RNA (198 nucleotides) under Calidris pygmaea (Spoon-billed sandpiper). RNAcentral's name for it is "lncRNA (ENSCPGG00000012666.1)". The record is from RNAcentral. Lineage: Eukaryota; Metazoa; Chordata; Aves; Charadriiformes; Scolopacidae.
AACUGUCACCAUUGUCUUACAUCUACAUAGAGAGCAGGAGAGAGUCUGAGAGAUUGUCCCGCUCCCAGGUGGAUGAUUGCUCUUCAGCAUUUGGCCAAGGUCAGGCAGGUGAGAGAGAAUUUUUUCUCAAGUUUCUAGUGUUCCUAAGCAAUUUUUAAAAUGGAAGAAAAGGGUAAUAACUUUUUUUAACUGGCAAAU